Molecule: long non-coding RNA, 125 nt
Organism: Sinocyclocheilus grahami
Lineage: Eukaryota; Metazoa; Chordata; Actinopteri; Cypriniformes; Cyprinidae
Exons: 3
Source: RefSeq, a predicted model, not a curated record
UCCAAAGAGAUAUUCUUUAUAAAAGUUAAGAGUCGGUUGGCGCCUAUAGCCUUGUGGUUAGUGUGUCGACAUAUAGCGCAACUGCACUUACGGCGAACCGAGUUCAAAUCCCACUUUGGGAUCAG